GAAGAGGGAUGCGGGACACACCUUCUACAUGUGAUUGUCUUUCCAUUUUGCCUAUUGAAAAACUUAAGAGAAGAUGAUUACAUGGCCAGAAGGCUCAAGGUGAACAGCUGGAAGUGCCUCCCAAACCAGGCAGGUGGCUUUGCCUGGGCUCACGCCCCUCCACUCCCUCACAUAAGCGCCCUCCCGCAAAAUGUGACACCUGUCAGGGACCUCAUCUGAGUGUGAC
This 226-nucleotide long non-coding RNA is filed under the name Homo sapiens (human). RNAcentral's name for it is "HSALNT0241081". Lineage: Eukaryota; Metazoa; Chordata; Mammalia; Primates; Hominidae. The record is from RNAcentral.